This 483-nucleotide ribosomal RNA is filed under the name uncultured bacterium. RNAcentral's name for it is "partial 16S ribosomal RNA". It matches the Rfam family "Bacterial small subunit ribosomal RNA", at positions 28 to 507 of the family's 1533-position model. The record is from RNAcentral.
GACGAACGCUGGCGGCGUGCUUAACACAUGCAAGUCGAACGCUGAAGCUCAGCUUUUGUUGGGUGGAUGAGUGGCGAACGGGUGAGUAACACGUGAGUAACCUGCCCCCUUCUUUGGGAUAACGCCCGGAAACGGGUGCUAAUACUGGAUAUUCACUGGUCUUCGCAUGGGGGUUGGUGGAAAGGGUUUUUCUGGUGGGGGAUGGGCUCGCGGCCUAUCAGCUUGUUGGUGGGGUGAUGGCCUACCAAGGCUUUGACGGGUAGCCGGCCUGAGAGGGUGACCGGUCACAUUGGGACUGAGAUACGGCCCAGACUCCUACGGGAGGCAGCAGUGGGGAAUAUUGCACAAUGGGCGCAAGCCUGAUGCAGCGACGCCGCGUGAGGGAUGGAGGCCUCCGGGUUGUGAACCUCUUUCGCUCAUGGUCAAGCCGCAACAAUGGUUGUGGUGAGGGUAGUGGGUAAAGAAGCGCCGGCUAACUACGUG